UUGGUUCCUGUCCUCAGCGUCCCCGCCGCGGCCCUGCAGCUUAGCGGUGGGAUUUAAGGCCAGGGACUGCAGCCGGAGGGUGGAGCAGGGUCCGCAGCGCUCUGGGCGCUCACCCUUGCCCAUCCCAGCGCCAUCCGCGGUGCGUACCGGGAAACGGCGCAAGCCUGCCCUGUUUCGCUCAGGGACAACGCUCAGCUGUGCCCAGAGGAGUUUGUUUUUCCCGAGGAAGUUUUGUGUGUGUGUGUGAGGACAGGAGGCUGCAGGCUUUGGGCAGUCAGGGCUGACGCGGUGACGCCCGCGCUGCAGCCGCGCUCCGGAGCCACGGCUGGGAGACCCCUGGUGGCCCUCUGUGGAAUUGCACGUGCGCUGAACCGCGCUUUCCACCCUUGGAUUCCAACAAAGCUGAGGUAGGAGGAGACAAGCACAAAAGGCCUGGUGCUGAGUCCGAGCCUGAGCCGGGUCGCUAACUGCGCUGACAGACCUGGCCCAGAGUCUCAACAGCUUCAUCUAACAGUUUCGGUUGCACCUUCACAAGGUUGCUCAGGCUGGUGACCCUCCAAAUAAUGACGCGAGAGGAGCUGUGGGCACGGAGAGACAGAAGCUGUCCUCAGCCUUGGAUAGGAAGAGUGAAAACCAAACGCGCACACAAACUAUCACGUGUGGAAAGGGUGCAGACAUUAAGUGAGAAAAGGAGAGGCACAGAGACUCCUCCCGAGGCUUCAGCUUCCCAGCAUGCACGUCAGCUCCCCAGUGGCAAGUUGGUGCUGUGAAUCAGGCGGGAUGGACUGCAGCCUCUUCAUACGGAGGAAUCUCUGCUUCACUCACUUUUAAAUGUACAUUUGAUGUUCUAGGGUUUCUUGCUGUCUGAAUGUAGCAUACAAUACAGUCUAUGUCCUUGAGGUAGUCCUGUCUCUUCUCCCCUCCCAGUCUGUCCUCUCUCCCUCUUCCUUCCCCUCCCCAUUUUUCCCAUCCACCCUAGCUCAUCAAGUUGCAUCAGGACUGAGCAUGUCCUCUUCCCCUGUGGCCUGGCAAGGCAGUCCUGUCAGGAGGAAGUGAUCAAAAAGCUGGCAAGUGAGUCCUUGUCUGAUGCAGUCCCCACUUCCCUUACUAGAGGACCCACAUGAGGCCUAAGCUGUCCAUCUGCUGCAUCUUUGUAGGGGGCCUAGGUGCAGAUCCUGCGUGGUCCUUGGCUGAUGCUUCAGUCUCAGCGGGCCCCUCUGGGCCCUGGUUAGUUGGCCCUGUUGGUCUUCUUGUGCAGCUCCUGUCACCUCCAGGUCCUUUUCUCUUUCCUCCCAUUUUUCCACCCAAAGAAGAUAAGUAACAAGAAGGAUCCAAGGGAGGAUGAAUAAAUCUCACUUGAAGGGGAGAUAGAAGAGACAAAGGUAGUGGCUGCAGAGAGGGAACAAAGUAGGAGAGGGGGCACAGAAAGUUAAGAGGGUAGAGAUCAGAGCUGGGAAGAGAGGGCAAGAGGACUGAAGGCCUGUAGAGAAAAGAGAAACUGAGGGUGGGGGUUUCCCUGUGACAAGCUGGAGACCUAAGUCAGGAUCAGCUCCUGGGAGGAAAUGAGGAGGACUCAAGCAAAGACUCCUAGUAGCAGGGGUCACAGAGACUGAAGAGGACAUCCUCUAACUAGACUAGCCUCAUAGCAGAGGAUGAAAACACCAACCCAAACACAAAUAUUCCAACCCAAGAUUUACCCUACCUAUGAUAUAUGCAAGGAUAAAGAUAGAGCAGAUUGAGUGAUACCCAACCAAUGCCUGGCCCAACCAAUGACCCACCUAUCGGAGAGCGCCAAUCCUGACACUAUGAAAGAUACUCUGCUAAGCUUUGCAGACAGGAGCCUGUCAGAACUGUCCUCUGAGAGGCUCUAACCAGCAGGGCCUCAAAACAGAUGCUGAGACUCACAGCCAAAUAUUGGGUGAUACGAACAGUCUUCAUUCUGAAAACCUCAUUCAUUAUUCAUUUUCACUGAACACUGAAGCACCCAACAUUACCAAAGCGUUGGAAACUAAGCAUAUUGAAAUUAUCAUUGAUUAGUUAACUGGUAUUCGAUGUCAACCUAAACACACAAAUGGGUCUUUAUACAUAACUUUUUCCUUUUAUGGAGCGAGGUGGGUCCCACUGCAGGAAGUCCCUCAGGUAACUAAUGAGCCAUCUCUGCCAGUCUCCUAGCUGCAUCUCUGUCAUUGAAAAGUUACCUAAAAUAUUGCUAAUGCCUAAUCCUAAUUAUUAUUAAUGUUAUUAUUACGUUUAUCUGUUUCCAUUUAAUUAAUUAUGAUAUUUAUUGUCAUUUGUAUUUAUGGAGACUUACCAAAACAUAUAAUUUUCAGACAAACACCAGCUUUAUUUUCUCAUUCACGGUUUGUACACUUUUCAGAUAUCCCAUUAAGUUGUAUGUAAUAAACAUGUAAGUGGCAAAACCAGAUUGUUUUUGGACAUGUCAGUCUGGGUGUGAACAUUCAAGACCUUUGAUUAUUAGCUGGCAUUUGUCAUAGUGGGAGAGGAAAACUCUGAACCAAUCUGAUUAAUUGGUUCAGGCAAGCCUGGUUCUUUUUUAUAAAUAUUUUGUUAGAAAAACGAGCAUUUUAUGUGAAGGAGACAGAAGCCGUUAGAAGCAUGAUGGAAAGUUUCUAAUGUUCUUAAUGAUUUUUAAAAGUCAGUGGAGAGCAGAGGUAAGCAUAGCAGUCUUGGUGAAAUACACACCGCCUCUCAGGGAAGGCAGUGCCUUGUCCUGGGACUCUUCUGGAAGGAAAGGAUGGUUCCUUUCAUGAGAACCAGGUUUACUUACCCGUGUCUUUCUGCUUCUGGGUUACCUCACUCAGGAUGAUCUUUGAUGUCAUUGUUUUUAAUAGCUGAGUUAUACUGGAUUGUGUAAAUGUACCACAGUUUCUGUGCCCAUUCUCCAGUUGAGGGACAUCUACAUUAUUUCCAGUUCCUGGCUAUUACGAAUAAAGCUGCUAUAAACACA
Long non-coding RNA from Meriones unguiculatus (Mongolian gerbil), 2968 nucleotides. RefSeq lists it as uncharacterized. The transcript has 2 exons. The record is from RefSeq and is a predicted model, not a curated record. NCBI's taxonomy places the organism in Eukaryota, Metazoa, Chordata, Mammalia, Rodentia, Muridae.